AUACGGAGGGUGCAAGCGUUACUCGGAAUCACUGGGCGUAAAGCGCGCGCAGGCGGCCAUUUAAGUUGGAUGUGAAAGCCUACGGCUCAACCGUAGAACUGCAUCCAAAACUAUUUGGCUAGAGUGUGGGAGAGGAAGAUGGAAUUAGUUGUGUAGGGGUAAAAUCCGUAGAGAUAACUAGGAAUACCAAAAGCGAAGGCAGUCUUCUGGAACACUACUGACGCUGAGGCGCGAAGGCGUGGGGAGCAAACAGGAUUAGAAACCCGGGUAGUCC
This 274-nucleotide ribosomal RNA is filed under the name uncultured bacterium. RNAcentral describes it as "partial 16S ribosomal RNA". It matches the Rfam family "Bacterial small subunit ribosomal RNA", at positions 523 to 796 of the family's 1533-position model. The record is from RNAcentral.